AGUGAACGCUGGCGGCAGGCCUAAUACAUGCAAGUCGAACGGCAGCACAGUGGAGCUUGCUCCAUGGGUGGCGAGUGGCGGACGGGUGAGGAAUACAUGGGAAUCUGCCCAGUCGUGGGGGAUAACGUAGGGAAACUUACGCUAAUACCGCAUGCGCCCUUCGGGGGAAAGCCGGGGACCGUAAGGCCUGGCGCGAUUGGAUGAGCCCAUGUCGGAUUAGCUAGUUGGCGGGGUAACGGCCCACCAAGGCGACGAUCCGUAGCUGGUCUGAGAGGAUGAUCAGCCACACUGGAACUGAGACACGGCCCAGACUCCUACGGGAGGCAGCAGUAGGGAAUAUUGGACAAUGGGCGCAAGCCUGAUCCAGCCAUGCCGCGUGAGUGAAGAAGGCCCUCGGGUUGUAAAGCUCUUUUGUCCGGAAAGAAAAGCACUGGGUUAAUACCCCGGUGUCCUGACGGUACCGGAAGAAUAAGCACCGGCUAACUUCGUGCCAGCAG
RNAcentral lists this ribosomal RNA (497 nucleotides) under uncultured bacterium. Its description in RNAcentral is "bacterial SSU rRNA". It matches the Rfam family "Bacterial small subunit ribosomal RNA", at positions 29 to 514 of the family's 1533-position model. The record is from RNAcentral.